Phascolarctos cinereus (koala) is the source of this 1143-nucleotide non-coding RNA. Lineage: Eukaryota; Metazoa; Chordata; Mammalia; Diprotodontia; Phascolarctidae. The record is from RefSeq and is a predicted model, not a curated record.
UAGAAGGAGGCGAUCACCAGUAUCAAAGGCAGCAGCAGAGAGGUGAAGAUGGACAAAGGAGUGAGAAAAGGCCAUUCAAUGUGGCAAGAUUACUGGUUAAUUUGGAGCAAACAGGUUCAGUUGCAGGUUUAGCAUGGGAGGAGAGGAAGUGAAAGCACUGAUUAGACAUGGCUUUCUCAAGGAGUAGAGGGGACAAAGAAAUACAGGCUAGGUAGCAGAGAGGGCUAUACAGAGAGGGCACUAUCUGUAUCACAUACAGAUAGUGUCAAAGGUGGGAUUUGAACCUGGGCCCUGUCUCCAAAUCCUGUGCUUCCUUCCUGUUUCCUUCCUGCACCACUGCCAGCUCCCUCUACCCAAAUAAGAUCCAGGACACCAGUCCAGGCAGGAUCAGGGACCUCUCUCACCCCUACCCUGGAUGAAGCGUACCCUGCUGCUGCCGCCCGGGUCGGCCCAGUAAGGGGAGGGGACCUGAUUUAAAGGACCCACUGCUAUCCCAGCUGUCUGUGAGUCGUGGGCGGGCAGCCGAAGACCGCCACCAAGAAGACAAAGCCACCCCACCCCCACCCCCAGCCCUAGGCCAAUCAUGCGCUUUGGACGACUGACCCCCGGCUAUUUUCGGAUGCUAGAGAUGCAAGUGGCUGGGGAGCUGGAGGCAGAACCCCGGAACAAACUGGUGGGCACCCUGGCCACACUGCUGGCUGUGUUCGGCCUAGGUCUCUCCUUCUACAGUGUCCGGCAGCUGGUAGGUCAAGGGAAGUCCCCGAAGACCCCAUGACAGGACAGGAAGCCCCUGGAAGUCUGGGGGGCAGCAUCUAUCUCACCCAAUAUCCAGAGGAAGAACUCUUCCUGUCUCUACCAUCCCCUUCUGCCCCACCCCAUCAGAUGGUGGCCCCAGCAGGCUAGGAGGCCAAAGGGAAGAGGAUGGGGUACAGGGAGCAUAUCCAUGCCUACCUAGGCUGGAGAAGUGGGAGCCCUGGAUGGAAUAAAGCUGGAAAACUGCAAGGUGCAGACACAGAAGACAUGCCAUGACUGGGGCUCCAUCCGGUGACAUGCGUCCAAAGCAAAGUAACGGGGAGGGAAGGGUUCUCAUUCCCUUCCCGAAGGUUCAGCAUGUGGCUAGCCCAUGGGCAAGCAGAAAAGUCU